AAUGAACGCUGGCGGCAUGCCUAACACAUGCAAGUCGAACGAAGCCUUCGGGCUUAGUGGCGCACGGGUGCGUAACGCGUGGGAAUCUGCCCUUGGGUUCGGAAUAACAGUUAGAAAUGACUGCUAAUACCGAAUGAUGUCGUAAGACCAAAGAUUUAUCGCCCAGGGAUGAGCCCGCGUAGGAUUAGCUAGUUGGUGUGGUAAAGGCGCACCAAGGCGACGAUCCUAGCUGGUCUGAGAGGAUGAUCAGCCACACUGGGACUGAGACACGGCCCAGACUCCUACGGGAGGCAGCAGUGGGGAAUAUUGGACAAUGGGCGAAAGCCUGAUCCAGCAAUGCCGCGUGAGUGAUGAAGGCCUUAGGGUUGUAAAGCUCUUUUACCCGGGAUGAUAAUGACAGUACCGGGAGAAUAAGCUCCGGCUAACUCCGUGCCAGCAGCCGCGGUAAG
This 449-nucleotide ribosomal RNA is filed under the name uncultured bacterium. Its description in RNAcentral is "bacterial SSU rRNA". It matches the Rfam family "Bacterial small subunit ribosomal RNA", at positions 29 to 524 of the family's 1533-position model. The record is from RNAcentral.